UAUCCCGAAUCACCUUAGAGAUCCUCUCGCUUAUUGCUCUAAUAUCGAAAGCAAGCCCCAUGCGUUUAGAAAACCUUCUCACACUGUUCCUGAUCAUGCCAUUUGUUUUUCCCAAUUCUUGCUUUAGAAGAAAGGUUUCGAUUAUAUCUUCAGCGUCAUAAACAAUUUCCUUUAUCUCUUUGACAGUGUUCCUCACCAUUGCACUUGUAUGUUUCUUGGCAUCUGCAUCUUCCAAAAAGCACCUUAACAUAUUCAAAUCACUUUUUAAUCUAUUAAAUUGCUCUUUAACUCCUUGAAAUCGCUCAGAUUCUCGGACAAGGAGGUCCCAAAGCUUCUCAACUCCAAACGACAAAAGUGUCUCAGCCAUAAUUAGUCUCCUGCUUAACAAUGAAAGUAGUAGUCAAUAAUCACUUGAAGAGGAUCCAUGAGUUCACAAUUCAGAUAUAUUCUUUUGCAAAAUUUACCGAAUAACUAUACUAGUUUUGUUGGAUCUAAUCAACAGAUCUUUCUACAAAGACAUGAACAAUACUGAUAUAAAAAAAAAAAAAAAGGAAUACAAAAAAAUCGAAGUACCUUCCACCACCAAAACUAAAGAGAGAAAAGUAAUAAUCGCCUCCGGAAAUUUGCUUCUCAAUCAACUGAUCUGUUUGUUUUCUAAGGAUAAGAGUUGACUCCAAGUCAGCACCUACUUUUGGCCAGAAAGUCUUCAAGGCAACCUUUGGCCACUUGUUAUUUUUGCAUUGGUUCAGAAAAAAAAAAGGAAACUAAGGUGAGACCUUUAUAUAAUAAAAUGGUCCAGCUUCAGUUUUGGUGGGACCUGAAGAUGGGUUAGUUUACGCACAUGAGGGUAACAAGCGUGGCUGAAGAAAAUUAUUGGGUUGAAAUAGAAAUGUAACAGAAUUAGUGGGCUGAAUAGCUAUAAAUACAGAGGAAAAACUAUUAUAAAAGUAUGCAUUCUAUAGUUUCUAGUGAUGUGCUAUGAAGGUUCACUCUUCUAUACGAUGUAUCAGUUCCUUGUGGUUAACAAUUAGAGAUUAACAGUUUCAUUCUAAUUAUCACAAUCAAUUUGGUAAUAAGAUGCUAAAGCAAUGCAGCUAGCAUAAUGGAUUAAUGAUAAUGUAACAUGAAUUUUUACUAACAACUUUUUUGUACGAAUAAAAAUCAAUUGGUGAUGGGAUAAUAAACCAAUGAAGCUACCAUGAUGGUCACUGCAACUUUAUGGAACAAGUGUACCAACGAGUUUUAACACAUUAGCUACGCGAACCUAAUACUAAGUGAAAUGCAAUACAAAAUUACCAACAGUGAAACACCUUUUGUUUUGUUAUGAGAGACCUCCCCUACCAUGCGUGAAUCAUGUGUCGUCCAAUGUAGCUUCCAUGCUUCUGGGAUCAAGACUUGUACAGCCAGACAGCUUAAGCUCCACCAUAGAUCGCAAGUUGCUUAUUCCAUUUGGUAGUUUCUGAAGCCUUGUGCAGUUCUCAAGAUCAAGCGUAAUAAGUUCAGUGAGAUUCUCGAUUGACAAUGGAAGUUCCUUUAUGGCAGUCCCAGCUAGAUAUAACUCUUUCAAGUUUGGUGCAAAAUCCUGAAUCUCCUCGAACUCUGAGCAGCCAGACAUACGAAGAAGCUUGAGAGAUAUUAACCCAAACAUGGCAGGCAGACUUUGCAACUGAGAACAGUCUUUCAAAUUUAAUGAAACAAGCUUCCCACAACUAGGAAUAGAUGUGCUAACGUCAACCAGACUAAUACAUCCUUCGAGAUCAAUAUGUUCAAGGUUCAAGGCUUCUGAUAACACCAUGACGUCAGUUAAGUUUCUGGAGUGACUCAGUUUAAUUCUCUUUAGCUUCUCGAGAUUCUGUUUAAAACAUCAAUAACCGAAAUGAGUCAUCAAAUGCAAGCUUAUAAAUUAAUGUAAGCAUCUUAAAACACCAUAAUGUCAAUACUUACUUUCUUCCCUUCCCAUAGCUUCUCCAUGUUGCUAUAGGGCAUGUUUACCUCUACAAGGUUCUCAGGAUUAAAUUUCUGAGGCAAGCAUUCCAGAGGGUAAUUCUCCCAAUGAAGUAACCUGAGCUCAUCGGGCAAAGUGUAGAGGCCUUGAGAUAGACUUAGCUUGCACUGGUUCCCAGGGGUGGAAAAAUAGAGCUUCAGCAAUCUUAGUCUAUACAUCUUACUAAACAUAGUAGGACUAAGCUCAUAGUUCAAGUCAGAAGCAUCCAGGAAAAUGCCUUCAAUCGCUUCAGUUCCCUGACGAAGACAAUAAAAACUAAAGUAAGGAUAAUUAUGAAGUAUCAGGAGGUUAAAAGAACUAAGCAAAUGUCAACUUACGGAAUUGCGUGUCAAUACAUUAGCGAUGUCUUUAGAGUCCCACAAUCUGCUACGUUCGCAUGGAUCCUCGCCUUCUUCAUGAACUAUAAAUCGACCAAUAUCUUGAAAAGGAACAGGCAUCUCGAUUUUAUCGUCUACAACGCUAAUGAGAGACUCGUCAAUGAGAUCACAGAUUCCCAAAUAUGUAAGAAACCCGCAAGCAUCAAGUAAUUGCACCACAUGAUCUUUGUUCUCCCCUGUGAAAAAACAUGCAAGAUCCAAAAAUAUGUUCUUUUCGUUUUCGUCUAGUCCACCAAAGCUUUUCUGGAAUUCGUCUUGAAUCUGAGUUGGAGGAUUUCUCCGCAAGCUUUGGAGAUGUUCCUUCAUAUUGCUUCUAUGCUGCUUUGAUACAGAGGAACCCAGAACAUUGAGAGCCAAUGGAAUACCACUACUGCAGCUCAUAAGCUCUGAGAUGACCACAUUUUCUCCAUUCAAAUAUUGCUUGCAGAGACGAGAAGAUUCAAACUCGCAUAACUUUUGGAUCUCGUAUGGCUCUUUAACCCUGCAUUGUACAAGAACUUGUUUUCUCCUAGAGGUUAAGAUGAUUCUGUGUCCAUGAGAAAACCAACAAAACCCUCCAACUACAGCUUCUGCAUCUCUAGCAUUACUCACGUCAUCGAGAACAAGAAGAAUCGUUUUUUCCUGGAACCAGUCCCUCAUGAAACUCGUUUUUAUAUCAGAAGCGCCUAUACUUAGUUUUUCUUCCCCAAAUAUUUUAGAAAAUAAAUCAUCACGCAUUUGCCUCAGCCCUUUUGUUUGACAUGUUAGAUCAAAGUCUUGCAGAAAGUAACACAUAUCAUAUUGUGGAGCUAGAAUUCCAAAAAUUUCUCUAGCAAUAGAUGUCUUACCUAUUCCUGCCAUACCCCAAAUUCCCACAAUUUCAGCAUCUGAAGGAUGGGACUGAUUUAACAAUGCUAAGAUUCUGACCAGAUUCUUGCUAUUUUUCGAAUAUAACCUUAAGCAUGCGUUUCUAACAACUUCCUCAGCAAGCAUAACCUCAGUCCUGCAAAACGCACACAAAAACUAGAAAGUGUUAAUAAGUACAUUGAAUCCUAGAAAAGUUUCCAAAGGAACAGUUUCCCCAUUGCAAAAAUUGUCAAAUAGUAAAGGCAAAAUUAAAAGAAAUCAAGUUACCCUUUUGUCCAUUCAUGUCCAUCAAUGGAUUCUAUUUCAGCCAGAGCCAUCUUCCAUUUCUGAACUCUGUCUUCCUGGACAGAACUCUGAAGGUGCAGAAAUGCUGCUUCAGACAUGCCUUUCAACCCACAAAUGUGUUGAAGUGUCACUUUAAAAUAUAUAGGGAUAAUUACAAUGUCUUUCGCUUUCCAAUGCUCCAUGAUUGCCACAAGAUGAUCCAAGGACUGUUUAGAACAAACGUAACUAUUUGAAAAUACCAUAAUACCAACACUAGAUCUGUUUAACAUUUCUACGUUCAAGUUCUCUCUUCCUGAAAGAUUAUACGUCAAAGGUGUGAUCCCUCGCUCGUGCAACUCUUUUAAGAUGGCUUCCAUGAACUGUGUCUCGUCCACAUCAUGGCUGUCAUUGCAUGAAAAGACUGAUACGCAUUCUGGUUGAGCCAUCUCUUUCGUAGAAUCAUGGCUGCGAAAAGUAUUUUCCUUCCGUUUUGUGUCUAAUGCCUCACGCAUGGCAUUAUCCAAAAAAACUUCACUUGUCUCAGCCCUGUGAUCGCUUAUAGUAAGAUUUUCUAUGUGUCUCAGUUCACCUAGAGAUGAAGACAGAGUUUCCGUAGUACACCCGCUAGUAAAUUUAACAAAAGGGAUGUGCUGGACUUUGUAAUAAUCUACUCCUCCUUUCGACAGUCUCUCCUUCCAUUCCUUUCCCAUAAUCAGAUCCUUUAAAGAAAAGAUGAAUUGCAGCCCAUUAGGGAACUCCUUUAAUUUCUUACAGUCACUAAUAUUCAGAGUGUGAAGAAGGGGCAUGGAGCCUUCUUCUACUAUCCACUCUUCCCACUCCAGUAGUCCCCAUAUUGAAAGCAUAUGCAAUUUAAGAAACCCGCCGCCCGAACAAACCAUUCUCUUCCCACAAAAAGAUUUAAAUGAUAAUUUGACCCGAGAUAAGUGAAGCAGCUUCUCUAGAAUCGGCAUCGGAUCCUCCUCCAAAUGACAAAUCUUCAGAUUUAUGGUUGUAAGGUGAGAAGGAAAAUAUUGCACAUCAGGUAACUUUGGCAUAUAUAUGCUCAACUGCAGGUGUUUAAGAUGAACACAAUCAAAAAUUAAUCCUUCCUCAUCACUCGUGUAACCAUCAAUAGUAAGAUUUUCCAAGUGUCUAAGUUCACUUAGAGAUGAAGAUAGGGUUUUCUUAGUACACCCCUUGCCGUUGAAUAAGAUUGAGAGAGUCUCGAGCUUUGUCAAACAGUGAAGAUCCCUCACGCUGCUAUGCUUUGUUGAGAAAUUCUCCAACGUCUCCAAGUUGAUUAGAUUACCUAAUUCCAACUUUGUCUUAUCAUGCAUUUCAUCCGGUAACCAAAGGUAUCUCAGUUCUUUCAUCUCUUUCAAGAUAUUAGGCACAUUCAGUGGAGAUCCCGCUUUUACUUUCAGAUUCAAAUAGAGGAGUAACGUUAGGUUCUCCAGAGAAGAGGGUAGAUAAGAUACCUUCGCCAUAUAUAAACUCAAAUAUCUCAAGUGGAUGAGCUUUCCAAUGCUAGAGGGUAACUUCCCUCCUUUAAACUCCACUCCAAAAAGAUCUAACACCCUCAUCAAAUGUACCUUUGUAAAGCAUAAACCUGAUGCCAUCCACAUUGAGCCUCGCAAUGAGAGAGAUCUAACUUUUGGAUUCUUUAUAAGAAAUGUAUGAUCACACGAAUGUAUGACGAGUCUGCGAGGUUCACUAUGAUACCAAGAGUCUGAAGUUGAGGUAAUGCUACUUGCAUCAAUAAUUUGUAGGAAAUUCUCUUCUUUAGCUUUAUACAAACAAAUCUCUCUCACCAUCUCAUGCAAGCAACAUGUCUCAAAUCUCGAAGUAUGAAUGUCUCGUUCUGAAAUAACCAUAUUUCUCUUCACCAAUUCUUCUAUGUAUUCAUCUGCGACCUCUCGAAUGGUCGCUUCAUCAUAAUACCUCGACUUUGGUAUUCCUUCUGCGGCCCAAUAAUAGGACAAUUCUCUGACAUCUAUUGCAUAAUCUUCUUGAAAACGGGCAAGGUAGAGGAAGCAGUGCUUCAGAGAAAUAGGCAGCUCUUCAUAGCUCAGAGACAAUAUUUGGUCAACAGGAGUGUUAUUGCUGUCAUUGAAGUGAGAUUUAAUAUUCGCACAUACCCUUUUCCACUCACUUAAUGUGUGUUGGACAGCUAACAACCCUCCUAACACUUUGAUGGCCAAUGGUAGUCCGUGACAAUGUUCGAUCAUCUUCUUACCCAGCUCUUCCAUUUCUUCAUCAAUCUUAUAUUCUACACAUGACAUCAUCAAGAUAUGGUGAAAUUACAUGAUGUCUAUUCGAGAAAUAUUAUUUAGGAAAUUCGGACAGUGAUCAUCCUAAGUAAAAAGUGCUCGAUUAUGAUCGAUAUAGAAAACAAAAAUUAAUUAAACAGUCCUAAAGCUUACCGGUAGAGUUUUCUCUAGGAAAUGCUAUCCUUUGAAACAUUGUCCAACUUUCUUCAGGGGUUAGGAGUGUUGGUUUGAAGGUGACACAUCUUCGAUCUGCUCGCAAUCCCACACUCUCGUUGCGAGAAGUAAGAAGUACCUUCCAACCUAAACAAAAUAUAACUAUUUUUUAUAUACCUCCUUAACCGAAAAGAACAUAAUGCUUUAUGACCAAUAUGUGUGUCUCGUUCUGCAUGCCCUUUCUCUUUUUUUGUACUUAUAUUAAAAAGGAGAAUAAAUUCAUGUAUGUAUGAUAGAGUGUCACCUUUUUUCCGUGGAAACAUUGGUUUAAUUAUGUCCCAAUCUUCUUCUCUCCAUAUAUCAUCAAGGACAAUCAAAGUGUUUUGUGUUUCCAACACUUGAAAGAGUUUUUCUAGAAGUUCGUUUUCUAGCAUCUCUAACACUUUGUAUUCUGGCCUUAGUUUCCGCAAGAUCAUCUGCCACACAUGCUUCCUUGUAAACUUUUGUGUAACAAAUACCCACGCGAGUCCUGCAAAAUGACAUUGUAUAGUCUUACGAUUAAAAACUUUUCUUGCGAGGGUGGUUUUACCAAUACCGCCCAUUCCAGUUAUAGAAACCACUUGGCUGCUAUCUUCCUUCACUAAAUAGCCAACCAAUUGCUCAACAGUCUUCUCCAACCCCACAAGAUGGUCUUCAUAAUCGCUGGACAACUUUUGUCGCAUUUCUCUUUGUCCGUCCUGUAGAGACUGCGUAUACCUUUCAUUGACCAUGACCUGUUGUACGCCAAGAAUCUGCAUAUCGUGAAUCACUUUAUCGAUCCUCUUACUUAUGGCUCUUAGAUCGGAACCAAGUUCCCUAUGGUCCACUAUAACCAAGGCCAAUCUUUUCACACGGUUCCAAAUGCCACUUGUCUUUCCAGCUUCUUCUUUUAGAAGAAAGGUUUCGAUUAUAUCUUCUGCGUCAUAAACAAUUUCUUUGAUGUCUUCCACAGUUUUUCUCACAAUUGCACUUGUAUGUUUCUUGGCAUCUGCAUCAUUCAAAAAACCCCUUAACCUUUGUAGAUGUUCUUUAACUUCAUUAUAUUGCUCUUUUACUCUUAGGAAUCGCUCAGAUUCUCGGACAAGGAGGUCCCAAAGCUUCU
This 7056-nucleotide long non-coding RNA is filed under the name Arabidopsis lyrata. Its description in RNAcentral is "long non-coding RNA (ALYR_LNC002668)". Lineage: Eukaryota; Viridiplantae; Streptophyta; Magnoliopsida; Brassicales; Brassicaceae. The record is from RNAcentral.